GUAGGUGAACCUGCGGAAGGAUCAUUAAAGAAUAUCGAGCCUUACAGCUCUUAUUCUCACCCUUUGUAUACCAAACUUUGUUGCUUUGGCAGCGCCUUCAGGGCCUGCCAGAGGACCGAAACCCUAGAAUCUCUGCCGUCUGAGUACUAUAUAAUAGUUAAAACUUUCAACAACGGAUCUCUUGGUUCUG
This 190-nucleotide unclassified non-coding RNA is filed under the name rhizosphere metagenome. RNAcentral's name for it is "partial ribosomal RNA internal transcribed spacer region". The record is from RNAcentral.